CUGGCGGCAUGCCUUACACAUGCAAGUCGAACGGCAGCACGGGUGCUUGCACCUGGUGGCGAGUGGCGAACGGGUGAGUAAUACAUCGGAACAUGUCCUGUANUGGGGGAUAGCCCGGCGAAAGCCGGAUUAAUACCGCAUACGAUCUGAGGAUGAAAGCGGGGGACCUUCGGGCCUCGCGCUAUAGGGUUGGCCGAUGGCUGAUUUGCUAGUUGGUGGGGUAAAGGCCUACCAAGGCGACGAUCAGUAGCUGGUCUGAGAGGACGACCAGCCACACUGGGACUGAGACACGGCCCAGACUCCUACGGGAGGCAGCAGUGGGGAAUUUUGGACAAUGGGCGAAAGCCUGAUCCAGCAAUGCCGCGUGNGUGAAGAAGGCCUUCGGGUUGUAAAGCACUUUUGUCCGGAAAGAAAUCCUUGGUUCUAAUAUAGCCGGGGGAUGACGGUACCGGAAGAAUAAGCACCGGCUAACUACGUGCCAGCAGCCGCGGUAAUACGUAGGGUGCAAGCGUUAAUCGGAAUUACUGGGCGUAAAGCGUGCGCAGGCGGUUUGCUAAGACCGAUGUGAAAUCCCCGGGCUCAACCUGGGAACUGCAUUGGUGACUGGCANGCUAGAGUAUGGCANANGGGGGUAGAAUUCCNCGUGUAGCAGUGAAAUGCGUANAGAUGUGGAGGAAUACCGAUGG
Molecule: ribosomal RNA, 686 nt
Filed under: uncultured Burkholderia sp.
Lineage: Bacteria; Pseudomonadati; Pseudomonadota; Betaproteobacteria; Burkholderiales; Burkholderiaceae
Description: bacterial SSU rRNA
Rfam family: Bacterial small subunit ribosomal RNA
Source: RNAcentral